UGGCCAAAUACAGGCUAAAGGCCCAAGUGGAGAAGGACGAAGGCCCAAGUGGAGAAGGACAAAGCCCCCAAGUGGAGAAGGAUGAAGGCCCAAGUGGAGAAGGAUGAAGGCCCAGAGGCAGAGACACUAUCAAGACUAUUAAUUGUUGCUGAAGGCCCAAACUAAUUUGAAGGCCCAAGUUAAAUAAGUUUUUAGUUAUAAUUUAUUUUUAUUGUAAUUUUGGCCCAAACUGUUUAAAAGGCCCAUGUCUAUUUUUAUCUUUUUGUUUAGCUACACUAUAAGUAUGGGUUUUUGUUUUGAAUAAAAAAACUUUUGGC
Molecule: long non-coding RNA, 317 nt
Filed under: Glycine max (soybean)
Lineage: Eukaryota; Viridiplantae; Streptophyta; Magnoliopsida; Fabales; Fabaceae
Description: long non-coding RNA (GMAX_LNC003625)
Source: RNAcentral